RNAcentral lists this small RNA (21 nucleotides) under Arabidopsis thaliana (thale cress). Its description in RNAcentral is "Ath_wt_05832". The record is from RNAcentral. Lineage: Eukaryota; Viridiplantae; Streptophyta; Magnoliopsida; Brassicales; Brassicaceae.
UCCUCAGCGACGGACCGGGCC